ACAGUCGCUGAUGGUCUCCAACUGCUCCCGAUAAUGCAGGAUGUUGAUGCCUAAGAAGAACCGGAUUGCCAUUUAUGAACUCCUUUUUAAGGAGGGAGUCAUGGUGGCCAAGAAGGAUGUCCACAUGCCUAAGCACCCGGAGCUGGCAGACAAGAAUGUGCCCAACCUUCAUGUCAUGAAGGCCAUGCAGUCUCUCAAGUCCCGAGGCUACGUGAAGGAACAGUUUGCCUGGAGACAUUUCUACUGGUACCUUACCAAUGAGGGUAUCCAAUAUCUCCGCGAUUACCUUCAUCUGCCCCCGGAGAUUGUGCCUGCCACCCUACGCCGUAGCCGUCCAGAGACUGGCAGGCCUCGGCCUAAAGGUCUGGAGGGUGAGCGACCUGCGAGACUCACAAGAGGGGAAGCUGACAGAGAUACCUACAGACGGAGUGCUGUGCCACCUGGUGCUGACAAGAAAGCUGAGGCUGGGGCUGGGUCAGCAACCGAAUUCCAGUUUAGAGGCGGAUUUGGUCGUGGACGUGGUCAGCCACCUCAGUAAAGUUGGAGAGGAUUCUUUUGCAUUGAAUAAACUUACAGCCAAAAAACCUUAA
This 590-nucleotide small RNA is filed under the name Pongo abelii (Sumatran orangutan). RNAcentral's name for it is "processed transcript". The record is from RNAcentral. Lineage: Eukaryota; Metazoa; Chordata; Mammalia; Primates; Hominidae.